CACGGUCAGUCGCCGUCACUCCCGUCCCUCGAUACGGCGGCUGGCCCGAUGGCAUGACACGCCCAUCGGCGGCGCGUCGGUCCCCCAGCAAGGGCCGACGCGCC
RNAcentral lists this small RNA (104 nucleotides) under Phenylobacterium sp. Root1277. RNAcentral's name for it is "caulobacter sRNA CC1840". It matches the Rfam family "caulobacter sRNA CC1840". The record is from Rfam by way of RNAcentral. Lineage: Bacteria; Pseudomonadati; Pseudomonadota; Alphaproteobacteria; Caulobacterales; Caulobacteraceae.